This 1045-nucleotide ribosomal RNA is filed under the name uncultured bacterium. RNAcentral describes it as "bacterial SSU rRNA". It matches the Rfam family "Bacterial small subunit ribosomal RNA", at positions 90 to 1125 of the family's 1533-position model. The record is from RNAcentral.
GGCGAGCGGCGAACGGGUGAGUAACACAUCGGAGCGUACCCAGACGUGGGGGAUAGCCCGGCGAAAGCCGGAUUAAUACCGCAUACGUCCUGAGGGAGAAAGCAGGGGCUCGCAAGACCUUGCGCGUUUGGAGCGGCCGAUGUCUGAUUAGCUAGUUGGUGGGGUAAAGGCCUACCAAGGCGACGAUCAGUAGCGGGUCUGAGAGGAUGAUCCGCCACACUGGAACUGAGACACGGUCCAGACUCCUACGGGAGGCAGCAGUGGGGAAUUUUGGACAAUGGGGGCAACCCUGAUCCAGCCAUUCCGCGUGAGUGAAGAAGGCCUUCGGGUUGUAAAGCUCUUUCGGCAGGAACGAAACGGCUGUGGCUAAUACCCACGGCUACUGACGGUACCUGAAGAAGAAGCACCGGCUAACUACGUGCCAGCAGCCGCGGUAAUACGUAGGGUGCGAGCGUUAAUCGGAAUUACUGGGCGUAAAGCGUGCGCAGGCGGCUUUUUAAGCCAGAUGUGAAAUCCCCGGGCUUAACCUGGGAACUGCAUUUGGAACUGGAAGGCUAGAGUGCGGCAGAGGGGGGUAGAAUUCCACGUGUAGCAGUGAAAUGCGUAGAGAUGUGGAGGAAUACCGAUGGCGAAGGCAGCCCCCUGGGUCGACACUGACGCUCAUGCACGAAAGCGUGGGGAGCAAACAGGAUUAGAUACCCUGGUAGUCCACGCCCUAAACGAUGUCAACUAGUUGUUGGAGGAGUGAAAUCCUUUAGUAACGAAGCUAACGCGUGAAGUUGACCGCCUGGGGAGUACGGUCGCAAGAUUAAAACUCAAAGGAAUUGACGGGGACCCGCACAAGCGGUGGAUGAUGUGGAUUAAUUCGAUGCAACGCGAAGAACCUUACCUACCCUUGACAUGUCCGAAACUUGCCAGAGAUGGCUUGGUGCCCGAAAGGGAAUCGGAACACAGGUGCUGCAUGGCUGUCGUCAGCUCGUGUCGUGAAGAUGUUGGGGUUAAGUCCCGCAACGAGCGCAACCCUUUGUCCUUAGUUGCUACGCAA